Molecule: ribosomal RNA, 497 nt
Filed under: uncultured bacterium
Lineage: Bacteria
Description: partial 16S ribosomal RNA
Rfam family: Bacterial small subunit ribosomal RNA
Source: RNAcentral
GAUGAACGCUGGCGGCGUGCCUAAUACAUGCAAGUUGAGCGAACGGACGAGAAGCUUGCUUUUCUGAUGUUAGCGGCGGACGGGUGAGUAACACGUGGAUAACCUACCUAUAAGACUGGGAUAACUUCGGGAAACCGGAGCUAAUACCGGAUAAUAUUUUGAACCGCAUGGUUCAAAAGUGAAAGACGGUCUUGCUGUCACUUAUAGAUGGAUCCGCGCUGCAUUAGCUAGUUGGUAAGGUAACGGCUUACCAAGGCAACGAUGCAUAGCCGACCUGAGAGGGUGAUCGGCCACACUGGAACUGAGACACGGUCCAGACUCCUACGGGAGGCAGCAGUAGGGAAUCUUCCGCAAUGGGCGAAAGCCUGACGGAGCAACGCCGCGUGAGUGAUGAAGGUCUUCGGAUCGUAAAACUCUGUUAUUAGGGAAGAACAUAUGUGUAAGUAACUGUGCACAUCUUGACGGUACCUAAUCAGAAAGCCACGGCUAACUACGUG